RNAcentral lists this small nuclear RNA (107 nucleotides) under Callipepla squamata (scaled quail). Lineage: Eukaryota; Metazoa; Chordata; Aves; Galliformes; Odontophoridae. The record is from RNAcentral.
GUGCUCACUUCAGCAGCACAUAUACUAAAUUUGGAACAAUACAGAGAAGAUUAGCACGGCCCCUACGCAACAAUGACACACAAAUUCAUGAAGCGUUCCAUAUAUGU